CUUGACCGAACCCAACCACACCGGCCGAUCCUCCGACCGAUUCUGCCCAUAGGUGGCCAGCAACGCCCGCGCCUC
RNAcentral lists this antisense RNA (75 nucleotides) under Rhodococcus maanshanensis. Its description in RNAcentral is "ASpks TB sRNA". It matches the Rfam family "ASpks TB sRNA". Lineage: Bacteria; Bacillati; Actinomycetota; Actinomycetes; Mycobacteriales; Nocardiaceae. The record is from Rfam by way of RNAcentral.